GAAUGAUGGAUCUGAAACGUUGUUAUUUUAUUGGAUUUAAAACACAUGCAAAUAACCUCAGGCAUUUACCUGGAGAUUAACUAUGAAAUAUAAACAUAAAUAUGGGAAAUUGGUAAAUAAAACACACUAAGAAACUAUCUGAAAGAAAACGUGCAGGCUGGAUAUGGAAGCACAUUCUCCUUCGCAGCUUAUUUUAUUCUUCUCGUUCUUCCAUCGCUUUCACAUCUACUCUCUUAUGCAGAACAUUCUUCUUACCUGCAAGAAUACAUUUACUUUCCGUCGUUAGGAUUAAGUAAUUAUUAAUGUUCUAACUUAAUUAUAAGUUGGUGAAAAUAAUUUUUUCAGAAAUUGGAAAUCUAAAUAGUGUUUUCUGAAAAUCAUUAAAAUGCACCUUGGAAAUCUGGUUGCAGGUUCUUAGUAGUGAUGAGGAGGAGGAGGAGGAGAACUGUAGUAGUAAUGGUGGGGUGGUGGGUAGUGGACUGGAGGUGGUGGUGGGGGAGACUUGUAGACGUAUGGCUUCUUGUGAGGUGGUGGUGGUGGAGGGGACUUGUAAACGUAUGGCUUCUUGGGUGGUGGUGGAGGGGACUUGUAGACGUAUGGCUUCUUGGGUGGUGGUGGAGGGGACUUGUAGACGUAUGGCUUCUUGGGUGGUGGUGGAGGGGACUUGUAGACGUAUGGCUUCUUGGGUGGUGGUGGAGGGGACUUGUAGACGUAUGGCUUCUUGGGUGGUGGUGGAGGGGACUUGUAGACGUAUGGCUUCUUGGGUGGUGGUGGAGGGGACUUGUAGACGUAUGGCUUCUUGGGUGGUGGUGGAGGGGACUUGUAGACGUAUGGCUUCUUGGGUGGUGGUGGAGGGGACUUGUAGACGUAUGGCUUCUUGGGUGGUGGUGGAGGGGACUUGUAGACGUAUGGCUUCUUGGGUGGUGGUGGAGGGGACUUGUGGACGUAUGGCUUCUUGUGAGGUGGUGGUGGUGGAGGGGACUUGUAGACGUAUGGCUUCUUGGGUGGUGGUGGAGGGGACUUGUAGACGUAUGGCUUCUUGGGUGGUGGUGGAGGGGACUUGUAGACGUAUGGCUUCUUGGGUGGUGGUGGAGGGGA
RNAcentral lists this long non-coding RNA (1098 nucleotides) under Olea europaea (common olive). RNAcentral describes it as "long non-coding RNA (OEUR_LNC012027)". Lineage: Eukaryota; Viridiplantae; Streptophyta; Magnoliopsida; Lamiales; Oleaceae. The record is from RNAcentral.